GGGGUUAUAGCUCAGUGGUAAAGCACUUGCCUUGCAUGCAUGAGGCCCUGGGUUCUGUCUCUAGCACCA
RNAcentral lists this transfer RNA (69 nucleotides) under Ictidomys tridecemlineatus (thirteen-lined ground squirrel). RNAcentral describes it as "Spermophilus tridecemlineatus (thirteen-lined ground squirrel) tRNA". It matches the Rfam family "tRNA". Rfam says of the family: Transfer RNA (tRNA) molecules are approximately 80 nucleotides in length. Their secondary structure includes four short double-helical elements and three loops (D, anti-codon, and T loops). Further hydrogen bonds mediate the characteristic L-shaped molecular structure. tRNAs have two regions of fundamental functional importance: the anti-codon, which is responsible for specific mRNA codon recognition, and the 3' end, to which the tRNAs corresponding amino acid is attached (by aminoacyl-tRNA synthetases). tRNAs cope with the degeneracy of the genetic code in two manners: having more than one tRNA (with a specific anti-codon) for a particular amino acid; and 'wobble' base-pairing, i.e. permitting non-standard base-pairing at the 3rd anti-codon position. RNAcentral also lists the same sequence under 1 other name. Lineage: Eukaryota; Metazoa; Chordata; Mammalia; Rodentia; Sciuridae. The record is from Rfam by way of RNAcentral.